This 369-nucleotide ribosomal RNA is filed under the name uncultured bacterium. RNAcentral describes it as "bacterial SSU rRNA". It matches the Rfam family "Bacterial small subunit ribosomal RNA", at positions 527 to 892 of the family's 1533-position model. The record is from RNAcentral.
GGGGGGAGCAAGCGUUGUUCGGAUUUACUGGGCGUAAAGGGCGCGUAGGCGGCCAGCACAAGUCAGUUGUGAAAUCUCCGAGCUUAACUCGGAAAGGUCAACUGAUACUGUGCGGCUAGAGUGCGGAAGGGGCAACUGGAAUUCUUGGUGUAGCGGUGAAAUGCGUAGAUAUCAAGAGGAACACCUGCGGCGAAGGCGGGUUGCUGGGCCGACACUGACGCUGAGGCGCGAAAGCCAGGGGAGCGAACGGGAUUAGAUACCCCGGUAGUCCUGGCCUUAAACGAUGAAUGCUUGGUGUCUGGGGUUAUAUAGUCCCCGGGUGCCGUCGCUAACGCUUUAAGCAUUCCGCCUGGGGAGUACGGUCGCAAG